UACGUAGGGUGCAAGCGUUUAAUCGGAAUUACUGGGCGUAAAGCGUGCGCAGGCGGUUCGCUAAGACAGAUGUGAAAUCCCCGGGCUUAACCUGGGAACUGCAUUUGUGACUGGCGGGCUAGAGUAUGGCAGAGGGGGGUAGAAUUCCACGUGUAGCAGUGAAAUGCGUAGAGAUGUGGAGGAAUACCGAUGGCGAAGGCGAGCCCCCUGGGCCC
RNAcentral lists this ribosomal RNA (215 nucleotides) under uncultured bacterium. RNAcentral describes it as "partial 16S ribosomal RNA". It matches the Rfam family "Bacterial small subunit ribosomal RNA", at positions 524 to 736 of the family's 1533-position model. The record is from RNAcentral.